GAAAGCCCAGAAGUAGCAUGCUCCAUGAUUCAUGCUACAUGCUACUAAACCCCACUAAGGCACCAAAUUAGCCUUCUAUUCUUUAGGCGGUCUGCUUCAUGCUGAUUUUCCAUACCAUAAAUUACGUUUUUUCUUCCUCCUUUUAAUGGAAUAAUCAUUCUGCCCUUAUUCUACACUUUAACAGUGUUUCAUUAGUUUGUUUAACUUAAUAUUUAUUUGUUGGAAUCACCAAUUCCUUUUUGUUAAGGGAAUUUCUGAAUUCUUCCACAAAAGUUUUUGAAUAUCUAUAUUGAAUAAAGUCGGGAGAAAAAACUCUCAUUGAUGUUCAAUAUCGAUCUUUAUUGAAAAUUCAGUCAUCUAUCAGACCACAUUUUGAAAACUUAUUUUCGAGAGAGCUAGAAAUUCCCUCAAACACUUUUCUAUUCCUUAAACGGCUGUGAUAGUCAUCUCAAUUCCACCCACAGCAGUAACACACCAAAAACAUGACCAUGUCUACGUCUUUCGACCAACCUUUGAGGUCAUCCGCCUCUGCAAAUAAAACGGUGAUUAGUUCGCCGGUGACAAAAAUCAACAAAAAUAAGAAUUCGUAAAACACAACAGUAGACAGAAGAAUCCCGAAAUUCCCUCUAGUUUUUGGUUAGAGGGACUAAAGAUGGGGAACAACAAACUAAAGAUAUCAAUAGGUGAAUAUUCAAAGAGAGAAAGAGAGGAUGAGCGUCAGAAGGAUGGACGAAGAGAGAAAGUGAGGUGAGAAACUUUUUUGCUUGGAU
This 770-nucleotide long non-coding RNA is filed under the name Gossypium barbadense (sea-island cotton). RNAcentral's name for it is "long non-coding RNA (GBAR_LNC021050)". The record is from RNAcentral. Lineage: Eukaryota; Viridiplantae; Streptophyta; Magnoliopsida; Malvales; Malvaceae.